GAUGCAAGUCGAACGGCAGCACAGUAAGAGCUUGCUCUUAUGGGUGGCGAGUGGCGGACGGGUGAGGAAUACAUCGGAAUCUACCUUUUCGUGGGGGAUAACGUAGGGAAACUUACGCUAAUACCGCAUACGACCUUCGGGUGAAAGCAGGGGACCUUCGGGCCUUGCGCGGAUAGAUGAGCCGAUGUCGGAUUAGCUAGUUGGCGGGGUAAAGGCCCACCAAGGCGACGAUCCGUAGCUGGUCUGAGAGGAUGAUCAGCCACACUGGAACUGAGACACGGUCCAGACUCCUACGGGAGGCAGCAGUGGGGAAUAUUGGACAAUGGGCGCAAGCCUGAUCCAGCCAUACCGCGUGGGUGAAGAANGCCUUCGGGUUGUAAAGCCCUUUUGUUGGGAAAGAAAAGCAGUCGAUUAAUACUCNGUUGUUCUGACG
RNAcentral lists this ribosomal RNA (433 nucleotides) under Stenotrophomonas sp. 2S2.F3. RNAcentral describes it as "bacterial SSU rRNA". It matches the Rfam family "Bacterial small subunit ribosomal RNA", at positions 54 to 474 of the family's 1533-position model. Lineage: Bacteria; Pseudomonadati; Pseudomonadota; Gammaproteobacteria; Lysobacterales; Lysobacteraceae. The record is from RNAcentral.